RNAcentral lists this long non-coding RNA (448 nucleotides) under Phaseolus vulgaris (common bean). Its description in RNAcentral is "long non-coding RNA (PVUL_LNC002865)". Lineage: Eukaryota; Viridiplantae; Streptophyta; Magnoliopsida; Fabales; Fabaceae. The record is from RNAcentral.
UGUUAAAUUUUGGUUAUCUUGCUGUUUUUUCCAGUUUUCCAGGAUUCCCCUGUGUACACCUUCUCUGUUUUGGUUGUUUUAACCCAGAAAAAUAUUUCCACCCAUAGGAAAAUUCUGAUUUUCUGGAAAAUGCAAGUUUAAAGUGUUAUAGAAAAGACAAAAAAAGAAUGAGGUCAAAAGAAGCAACAGAAAAAAAUGAUAAAUCUUACAAAAUCAGAGUGCAAAUCUUGAGCGCUCCAGCUGGCCUAACCGAACACCAAUUUUGCAAAAUUUAUUAAAAAAAAAUGGUGCAUCCGUUUUGAGUGAAUCCAAAGCCAGAUUUUAGAUAAGAUCCUGAAUAUCUUGCAUAACAAAUUUCAGAGCCAAAUUCCAAAAAUACAGAUCAGCAUAAAUCGGAGAACAAACACGUUUUCUGGCCCACAACAUUUUCCAGUGGUGCUGUUUUUUU